RNAcentral lists this ribosomal RNA (424 nucleotides) under uncultured bacterium. RNAcentral describes it as "bacterial SSU rRNA". It matches the Rfam family "Bacterial small subunit ribosomal RNA", at positions 355 to 776 of the family's 1533-position model. The record is from RNAcentral.
UAGGGAAUAUUGGUCAAUGGACGGAAGUCUGAACCAGCCAUCCCGCGUGCAGGAAGAAGGAUCUUUGGUCUGUAAACUGCUUUUCUCAAGGAAGAGAGAUAGAGAUUAAUCUUUAGAGGACGGUACUUGAGGAAUAAGCACCGGCUAACUCCGUGCCAGCAGCCGCGGUAAUACGGAGGGUGCAAGCGUUAUCCGGAUUUACUGGGUUUAAAGGGUCCGUAGGUGGUUUGAUAAGUCAGUGGUGAAAUUACCGAGCUUAACUUGGGAGCUGCCAUUGAUACUGUUAGACUUGAGUGCAGAUGAGGUUGGCGGAAUGGGGCAUGUAGCGGUGAAAUGCUUAGAUAUGCCUCGGAACACCGAAUGCGAAGGCAGCUGGCUAAACUGCAACUGACACUAAUGGACGAAAGCGUGGGUAGCGAACAGG